Molecule: long non-coding RNA, 826 nt
Organism: Vicia villosa (hairy vetch)
Lineage: Eukaryota; Viridiplantae; Streptophyta; Magnoliopsida; Fabales; Fabaceae
Exons: 3
Source: RefSeq, a predicted model, not a curated record
GACAGUUACAAUUCUGUUUUGACGGUUAUGACUGUUAGCAAUUGAGUUGGUUAUGGUUAGUUUAGUACCAUGGGGUUAGUGUUACUUGGAGGCUAGUUUGGGAAUAUGUUGAUCUGGAUUUGAAACCAAAAAUGCUUUGUGACUUCCUCUUGAUUUGUUUUUUCUUGUUUUAAUUCUUUUUUUUUUCAAACCAAUUUGCCUGAAACUGAUUUGAAGCUUAUCCUCUUGUUUUCUUCUACAGGGCGUAGUAAUACAGCAGAUAAGGUUUCAUGACACGAUUUGAACACGAGUAUAGUAAGAUUUCCCUGGUGGUGUAACACACAAUCGGAUGGUGGACUACUUUGAUGCGAGUGAAUGGCUUGAAUGGAACUGUCUUGGUAAUCCAUGUGACUUUGGUGCAUGGCUGAUUGGUAAUGGUUAUGUGUAUUGUGCAGGGCUGGAAUUUAGUAGACAAUUGGUUAGUGAUAUGGAUCUCUUUUGAAUGAUGCAUCAUGUAUGGGGCUGAUCACAUAUGGAUUGUGGCAGGUUUUUGGAUGGUUUAAACUAAUGUGAAUUGAUUGUGGAUUUUCUGAGCUAUGCUGAAACUGGAUACAAAAUGUCUAUGAAGUAUGCUGAAUGGUUUUUAUGUGUGUUGCAGGUUUGCUUGAGCAGUGGUGUUUGAUUCAAUCAUUCCUUCAACGAGAACCUUGAAGCCGGCGUUCAGUUGGACCAUAUCUUCACGGAGAAACCAUCAUUGCUUGGUCAUAGAGAACACUUGAAACAAAGAGCAAUUAGGAUGGGAUUUGGGAUAAGAACAAUAGGCUCCUCACGUUUUCUCUUGUUGUAA